Daphnia pulex (common water flea) is the source of this 973-nucleotide long non-coding RNA. RefSeq lists it as uncharacterized. The transcript is spliced from 5 exons. The record is from RefSeq and is a predicted model, not a curated record. NCBI's taxonomy places the organism in Eukaryota, Metazoa, Arthropoda, Branchiopoda, Diplostraca, Daphniidae.
CUGAUAAGUAAGGUGUCUGAUUGUUACAGGCAUCUGAGCACGUUAAAUUCACACUGUCAUUUACGUAAAGCAAAGUGAAACUAGUCUUUUUUCACGCCGUGACUUUUAUCCCACCAAGCAGAAUCGACUUGAACUAAAAGCUAUGUGCAACAUGGCGAAGGUCUUGCCUUUCUCCACGAGUUGAUCGGUGCCGUGUCACGAAGAUGCCUCUUGCCGAAAUGUUGUCUAUUGUUACCUGUAACCGUCUUAUCCCAUGACCACAGACAAUUCAAUAGGUAGCAGAUCUCUGCUUAUUGGUUAGAGAAUUUGAGAACACAGCUAAUAAGUCUUCAUUGCCGUCAUGCAAAUGGUUUUGUUGCAGCCAGCUGGUGAAAGGGGUGAUCAAGCUAAGUUAAGCUGUUGCUGCAUGCAGUCUAUCGACCAUAGACUAUGGUGCUGGUGUUAUUCUGAAGUGUGGAAGUGUUACCUUUGAAGUGUAACAACAGCAAGAACACUUUUUGCAAAGGAGUUCAUCGUCAGUUUGAUGUUUGAGCUGUUUAUGGCGUUACUGUUUGGUGUACAGUGGUUUUGCUGUCCCUUUCUAGUUGAGAGAUGCUCUGAAAUGGAGUUUGUGCAGACUUGCAGUUCAACAUCACACUUAAAUGUGUCAUUUGUAUAUGUUUGUGUCUGUGCAGUAAAUGCCGUGUUGAAGAGUCGGGUUAUUUAAAUAGUCAAUGUUGCCUGUUGGCUGUCGGUCUUGUUUUAUCGGCUGCAUUAUGUCGAUAUGUCGUCUCUUGUUACCUGUACAGGCGUUGAGUUUAAUCACUUGCUGCCGUUGCCUUGAAACACCGGUGAAACUGAGGAGAGGUUACUGAAAUUCAAGACUCGUCAAUAAAUUAUGUAGAUGUAGAAAAAUUACAAGUGCAUAUCUGGGCUCCCUUCUUCAGUGGCCCCGUUUCCCUAAAUAACCACUAACCAACGCCCGCCGGUGGUC